This is a long non-coding RNA of Misgurnus anguillicaudatus (oriental weatherfish), 1360 nucleotides long. RefSeq lists it as uncharacterized. NCBI's taxonomy places the organism in Eukaryota, Metazoa, Chordata, Actinopteri, Cypriniformes, Cobitidae. The record is from RefSeq and is a predicted model, not a curated record.
UUGCAAAACGAGAUAUCCACCGUUUUUUUUAAUUGUUCAGAAAUCUUGUUUUUUGGUUGUGCAUUCCAAUUAAUUUCAAUUCAACUGCAGUUGGUUUGUUUUGAUUUAAACCUUCAUAACUUAAAACAUACAGCUAAGUAGCACCAUAAAACAAAAUAAUAACGUGAUAACAUAAUAAUAAACAUGUUUUGACAAAAAUGUAAAAAAUUGAUUUAUCUCGUUUUGCAACGAAACUCUUCAUAUUUAAUUCUAAAUGUUGAAUUUAACAAUACUGAUUCAAAUCUAUUGCCACAUUUUAACAUUGAUUAUCACAGGUCUCUAUAGUAAAUGGAGCAUAUUUCAAUUCCAGACCUAUCAUUUGACAUUAAUCAUCAAUAUGUGACCCUGGACCACAAAGCUAGUCAUAAAGGUCAAUUUUACAUCAUCUGAAAGCUGAAUGAAUACGCUUUCCGUGGAUUGAUAGGACAAUAUUUGUCCAAGAUCUUGGACUCACGAGAGCAUCCGUUGCCAUGGGUACAUUGCGUAGUUACUCUCGUAAAUCGCGUGAGUCCAAGAUGGUGUCAUUACCGAAAGCUAGUUUAUAAAGUUUAAAAUAUGUUUUUUUUAAAUAUCGUAUCGAUUACCCAUGGAAGACCUUUAUUAACCCCUUGGAGCCGUUUGGAUUACUUCUGUGAAGGAUUGAUGCACUUUUGUGGGCUUCAAAGUCAGAAGUUGUUCGCUGAUCACUGUUUUCUAUAAGCUUGAAAAAGCAAGGACAUUUACUAAAAUGACUCCAAAUGUGUUUGUCUGAAAGAUGAUGGACAUAUGUAUCUUGAAUUGCUUGAAGCUAACACCAACUGAGCCAGUAAACUUGCUGAAUCCAGAGAUAGUCUCAUCUCAUUCUCAUAGACGUCAGCAUCAUCCCACAGCUGCCGUGUUGCAUUUCCCUCACCCUGAUCAAGAACAUGAAGAAGAGUGAUAGGGUUCACACCACCCCACACCCAGCACCAGUGUAUGCUUGAUAACAGUUCAGUGGAUAUGAGCCAUUCAGAGCCCACCCAUCCUGCUUAUACUGAGGCCACUGCAUGCCAAAUAACAUGCCUGCACAUGUACAGUAGAAAGUACUUCAUUCUAGUGGUGGGGUUUAAAAUGUAUGAUUUAUCUUCAUAAUCAACAUGACACUGCACGUCUCCAGUCUUGUUUGAGUUAAUAUAAAACAGAAAUGUGCCAAAUGUGCAGAACAACGAAGCAGCAACGACUGUGAAAAUGCUGAUUAUUUUACAGCACCAUUAUCAAUCCACACUUCCUUUGCAUGUAAACAUGUUUGGGUGCCUACGUGAGAUUUGACUUUGAAAUAUGAGAUAAAGAAAGCAAUGAUUGA